GUGUGUUUGCCCGCUGCUGUCUCGGUCUGGCACAUGAAGAACCACAGCGGACGGAUCGGAGGCGCCUGGCGGCAGGCUCCCCCUCCCUUCAGCCUCCUCCUCGUUCACUCUUGGCUUUAUCAAGGUCAUCUGGCCCAGACGAACUGCUGCCACAUGCCACCCGCAUCUCAUGUGUAGCAUCAGCGCCUCUGUCUGGACAAACGCAGACCCCACACACAGCAGAACUGCACGCAGCGGCCCGUUAUUCAUCACUAAAGAGAGAGAGGACGAGGAAGGCCGAACCGAUAAGACAGGGAUGAGUGAUCCAAUUUCUUCAGCAGCGGAAGCGUGUCGUGGAGAUAGCCUUCACUUACGGCACACACACCUGAUGCCCCUCCUGGGGACAAACGGCAGGACGGCCCAUUAGAGAGAAAGUGUUGCCUGGACUCAGAAAUGGUUUUACAGCGGAGAAAAACAUCAUCCUUGCCUACAGGACUGUAGAUGGACAGUCAUUUGCCGUGACUUUUCCCUCCACGUCUGCUUGAGAAGUGACUAAAUGGAGCCGCUGAA
Pimephales promelas (fathead minnow) is the source of this 549-nucleotide long non-coding RNA. RefSeq lists it as uncharacterized. Lineage: Eukaryota; Metazoa; Chordata; Actinopteri; Cypriniformes; Leuciscidae. The record is from RefSeq and is a predicted model, not a curated record.